RNAcentral lists this ribosomal RNA (432 nucleotides) under uncultured bacterium. RNAcentral's name for it is "partial 16S ribosomal RNA". It matches the Rfam family "Bacterial small subunit ribosomal RNA", at positions 338 to 795 of the family's 1533-position model. The record is from RNAcentral.
CCUACGGGGGGCUGCAGUGGGGAAUAUUGGACAAUGGGCGCAAGCCUGAUCCAGCCAUGCCGCGUGGGUGAAGAAGGCCUUCGGGUUGUAAAGCCCUUUUGUUGGGAAAGCGGUACCCAAAGAAUAAGCACCGGCUAACUUCGUGCCAGCAGCCGCGGUAAUACGAAGGGUGCAAGCGUUACUCGGAAUUACUGGGCGUAAAGCGUGCGUAGGUGGUUUGUUAAGUCUGAUGUGAAAGCCCUGGGCUCAACCUGGGAAUUGCAUUGGAUACUGGCAGGCUAGAGUGCGGUAGAGGAUGGCGGAAUUCCCGGUGUAGCAGUGAAAUGCGUAGAGAUCGGGAGGAACAUCCGUGGCGAAGGCGGCCAUCUGGACCAGACUGACACUGAGGCACGAAAGCGUGGGGAGCAAACAGGAUUAGAUACCCUUGUAGUC